This 5744-nucleotide long non-coding RNA is filed under the name Homo sapiens (human). RNAcentral's name for it is "HSALNT0331616". The record is from RNAcentral. Lineage: Eukaryota; Metazoa; Chordata; Mammalia; Primates; Hominidae.
UGUGCCUGUGUAUGUGCACAUAAACAGUGUCUUUGAGGGCUUGGCAAUCUGUGUUGAUGUUAUUGAAGCUCUGCACCUGACUUCUGGUCACUUUUCUGUUACUGACCAGCUAAAUAACUUUGAGUAAGUCAUUGAACUUAUUUGGACACUAGUUCCAUCAACUGUUAGAUAUGAGGAUGGGAAUGGAUUGUCUCAAAGAUCCUUUUGAGUUCAAAAAGUCUAUGAUACCAGUGAGAAUGUUCCAAAGCCUUAAUGACACCUCACUGAAUGCAGCUUAAAAUGGCUGCAAGCUGACCAGACGAUUGCAUUCUCCAAGGUGAGCUGCCCUUCAUACCUCAUGCCCUUGAAUAAUGCAGCGUAAGUGUGUUUAUUGUGCCAGCUCUUCUUGUAGUUUUAUUCUAAUCCCUCGUCUCAGGCAACAUUUGUUUUGGCUGCAGUUCGAUACUUCCUCCUUCAGAGCUAUGCUUGGUUUUACCUCUAAUUCUGUGGCCCUCAGGGGCUGGUUGUACUGAUAAACUUUUACAAGUAAAAGGAGCUGUGGAGAUGACCUCCAGCUGGGGCUGAAGGCCUAUACAGCAGCACCUUCUUGCUGAAGCUAAGUGAUCCUCUUGGGGAGGAGGGUUGGGGGUCCAGGGCCCCUGAAGUCAGGAUUCCCCAGUGAGUUGGUCAAUGUGGACUUAGAUCUUGUUGAAAUAUCCAGAAGUAUUUCUAAGUAGAAUAUUUUUGAUCACAGAAACAAGGUAAAUAUUUUUGUCUUCCUUCAGUGGAGGACUUUGGAGCUCUCAGGUGGCUGCUCUCCAUCCCAGGCCUGGCUGUAGGAGGCUACCUGGGUGGGGUGCAGGCCCAUGCCUGGGGUCCUGGCUCCAGAGGCACCACAUGCCACUCAGUGAGGAUAAGAAUCCAUUCUGCAGCUUCUUUCAGCCCCACAUCAAUAAAUGGAGACAGUGGGAAGGGAGCUGUGCUACUUUGAAGGAUUUGGGGGCAGACUAAGAAGAAAACACAUGUGAAAGUGCUUUGUAAGGAUGAGUGCAUGGCGGGGCGACGAGGGGCGUUGGAGGCACAUGCAGCUGGGUAGGAGUUGCACUUUGGUCAUUGGCCAGUUAUGUGGCUUUGGGAACUGUUCAGACUUCUGGAUCUUGGCUUCCUUUUUUGUUAAGUAGGUGAUGAUAGGGAUCUCAUUGGGCUGCUGUGAGGAUGAGGUGUGUUUACAGUGCUUGGCAAAGAGUGGGGCUCCAUGCACAUAACUCCAUUUCCUCUACAUCUACAUUGCUCUGCAAACGAAGGGUGCUAUGACAAUAAACCCACCCCAAGGCCAAAGGAGGGGCGUGCUGGGGGUGGAGAGGGAUGGCUGGGAACUAACUAGCCGGCAUCAGCAAAGGAGGGAUUGUUUUGGUCUUUGUAGGAAAUUAGGAGGAUUGCCUUUCUCAUCUAUUACUUCCAAUGAGUUCUGAUGUUCUGGGGAAUCUUCUCUGAAUGAAUCCUGGUAUUGCUUCAUUUAUACUAUAACUCUGUAGUAUAACUAUAUCCUGUGUAAUCCAAGCCAAAGAUAGAGGGUUUGGGGACGACAGAUAUUUCAACAAUAGUCACUGAGGCAAGGAAUUGUGGAUUCUAGGAUGAGGCAGCAGGUGAAGGGCUUUGGUGCCCACACAGAGGAGAAGAGGGCAACUGGAGCGAGGAAAUGUCUUGCUGUCCUGCCGUUUAGCUCUGGAAGUGUCUCUUGGGACAAUCUUGGAGAAACGUCAACUGAAGUGCUAGUUUAGUAGCAGGGUAGCUGAGUCCUAGCAGUGUUUCGCAUUUCUCCAGUGAAAGCCCUAGAGGACUUGGAUGUCCCCAUCUCUAAAGACACCGGUGGCGGCAGAGGCCCAGCUUCUAAACACUCAGGGUCACACAGGCAUUGGUGCUUGGUAAACGUUUUCUUAUAUAAUUUCAAAGCCAUCUGUGACAUGGCUGUAUCAUCCCCAUUCUACUAGUGAGAAAACCAAUGCCAGGGGAUGGAAAAACAACUUCCUUAUGGUCACACUGCCAGUCAGUGCCUGGUGGGACCCAAGCUGGGCCCCAAUCCCCCAUGUCCCCCUUGGCACCUGUCCUGCUUUAGGGAAGAUGGUCUGUGGUCAAAGCUUAAUCUUUGCUUUGAUAAAGGAUUAAUUCAAAUUUUGGAAUGAAAAGAAGAGAUUUUGAAGCCCUAAAACUGUACUGUGUGACAAAACUCCUGUUCUUGGGAUAUGGUGGCAGAAGUAAGGGAAAGUGUCAGAAAAAGUCCCGCAAGGUGAGAAAAACUGAAAAAGAGACCCCUUUCCUAUAGAGGCUCACGAAGGGGAAAUUGCAACUGUGCGACCCUGUCUGCUAGCUUUCUCUGUCACUUCAUCCCCCAUUCCUGUUGCUGUGUGCACUUUUAUCCAACCCUCUUAAUGUCCAUGGCUGCGCUACCAGCAAAAUCUAACCCCAUCUGCUUGGCUAAGCUUCUUGCGCUCACCUAUACCUGAGGAGUACGACAUCAGGCUUCAGGGCUUAUUGAAGUCAUUACUCACAUCAUUGCACUAAUCACAAACAGAAGUGAAAGUUGUAAAUUGUAUAUAAUUACAUUUCAUAGAGAAAAAAGUAGAUUUAAAAAUGGCAAUUAAUAUUCUUAAUAGCCAAAAGUUAUUGCUAAUUAAUAAGAAAAACAUAAGCACUCCAAUUGAAAAAAAAUGAGCAAAGGUCAUAAAGACAUAAAACUCGCCUGUGGAAACAUACGUAGAGGAAACACAGAAUUAGUGAGUGUGUGUAUGGAAAUAAAUGGAAGGAUAAUGCUUGCUACCCAGUGUGGGCUUUGGGGGUAGAUCUACCUGGACUGAGUUCUGGAUUCACUAUUUACUAGCUCCAUGACCUUCAGCAAAGUAACCUCUCUAAGCCUUUGUUUUUAUCUGUAAAAUAGGGAUACUUAUUUUCCCUGCCUUGAGGGGUUAUUGUGAGGAUAAAAGAAAAUAAUUCUGUAAAGGGCUUAGUAAAGUGCCUGGUGCAGAGAAAUUUUUCAGUGCAGAUUAGCAAUUGUCACUGCUAGUAGUAUAUUUGCAUUGAUAACAAUUAGUAAUUUAACAUCUCACUGAAAUCAAAGAAAUGCAAUUAAAACAACAAAUACAUAUUAUUUGUUACUUAUCAGAUUGGAAAACAGGUGAAAAGAUUGACAGUAACCACUGUUGGUUAGAUGUGGAGAGAUGGGUUCUCUUGUGCAAUUCUGGGAUGGUAGGACCUGAUGCCCCAUUUCUGCAGGGCAAUUUGGCAAUAUACAUUAACGUUGAACAUUCUGAUAGUUUUUGACCCAGUCAUUCUUCUCUCAGAAACUUAUUCCUGGGAGAUAACUGAACAAAUGCACAAUAAUGAAUAUAUAAGAAUGUUUAUCCUGGCAUUUUUUUUUAUAGAAACAAAAAUUCAGAAGCAACUUAAACAUCCUUCAGUGAGAUUGACUAAUAAGUCCUGCUUCAUUUUUAUGACAGAAUGCUACUACUAAUAGCAGUGUUCUAGAUUUUCAUCCACCAUCAUGGAUAAAGCUCUCCGUCAUGUGGAUGGUCUAUGAUUCAUGCAAGAAGACAGAACCAAUGUUUUGCAAGACCUUCCCAUGAAGUAGAAAGAACAGUAGUGUUCACUCCAUAAGAGGCGUGCGCUACCACUUGCCUUGCCUCAUGGGCAAUGAGGAAGUUGCAUGGGUUUCCUACGGCUCUGCAGGGGUGGAGUGAGCCAGAAAGAACUGGUCAGCCCUAGACAUUCAGGUGCUAUCAAAUACCAGCCCUAGGGUCAAGAACACUUAAAAACAAAACAAACUUGAAACUUCCUUUGCUUGUGUUGCUUAGAAUCACUGCGGUAGGAGGAUUCCUGAGGCAUUACCUGGAUAGUCUCAUCUGGCUGGACAUGCAGGAGAACUGGGAGACUGCCGAGACUGCCACGUGGGGUGACUUGAGGGAUCUUUGACACUCUCUGUCUUAAUCUGUUUUGUGUUGCUAUAACAGAAUACACAGACUAAGUAAUUUAUAAAGAAAGGAAAUUUACUUCUCACAGUUUUGGAGGCUGAGAAGUCCAAGACUGAGGGGCUGGCAUCUGACGAGGGCCUUCUUGCUGCUUCAUUCCACGGCAAAAUGGCAAAGAGAAGAUGAGAAGAAAGGCUCAAAGGGACGGUGGGACUUGACUGAGGACCCAGCACCUCCUGGACCUGAAUCAAGGCCCUCUGUCCCGCUGCUUUUGUUGUUGUUUACCCUGCAACUUCACAGCCCUUCAGAAGGCCCUGGACAUCAUGUGCAAGCUCCGUGGAUGGCCUGAGAUUCAUCCUUCCAAGUUGUUUUCUGACUGAGAGGCAACAUUUUAAAUUGUGAUCCCCCCUUACCCCACCACACACACUGAAACAAAAGUUUCAAGAAGUCAUUACCACACAAUGACUCAGAUAUGUUCUAGUCUAGUCUGUCUAUUCCAUUCCAUUCCAGUCUCUUUCCAAACGAAAAUAAAAGGAAGGAAAUGCUGCAUGCGACUUGGUAAGUUAAUUUCAGGACACCUUGGGACUGCUUCCUGCUGCAUGAGGCAUCAGCACACAGCAGGGGAUAUUUUGCAUUCCUGUGUGCACCGUGGGUUAGACAGGCUGCUUGGCCCUAAGUGGAGAAUGGAACUCCAGUAGAAAGGCUGAGAUGCACUGCAAGUAACCACUGCAGAAAGGAGAGGAUGCCCACAGGCAGGCUGAAGUGGACCCGUGUGGAAGGAACACUUCAAGACCACUGGCCAAGAGACUUCCUUCAUUUUUAUCCCUUCCUGUUUUUCGCCUGUGCUGAGGAUUCACCACCAGUGUGGGGAGCCUCUGACUGUAAAAGGAAAGCUGACUCUGGCUCCUUCGUGUUUUCUGUUAAGUUGGGGCCUAAGUUUUUCUGCCAGCCUUUGCGGAGGAAAUGCAGCUUCCCUGGCACACUGCCCGGUCAAGGGACGUUGAAUCCAUUGCAAUCAGCAGUUGAAGAUCCACACUACAGGCCAUGUUCUUAAAAUAAGUGGCUCCAGGACUUCCAAGAGGCAGAAGGGGCUUCAGCUGGCCAUGGGCAGGAUCCAAGUGGAGCUUCAUCCCUGCAGAGCAAUGCCUGGCUCUCAGCGGAGGCAGUCUGGAGCAGGGCUUCUACCCUUUUCAGCUCAUAGAUUACUUUGGAAUCUGAUGAACACUGGGAGCCUUCUCCUUAGAAGAACAUACAUAUGCACGAGAAUGAGACAAUUACAUAACAUUCCUUGGGUUUCACAGAUGCUGAAGCCAAUGACUUGCUUGAAGCCUGGAAGAGGGUGUUGACCUGGAGAAUCCUAAAGGCCAAAAUUUAGAGAAAAUGGUGCCAGUAAAUGAAUUCACAAGGAGAAAUGCUUCCUUGCCAACUCACUUCUCCAGAUUAUUGAGUGCAUCUAUCUGUUUGCUUUUGGCUUCACGCAAUUGGCCCUCUUCAGUUCCGUACUCUUUCCUAAAUACCUUGCAAGUUUUCCUCUUCUCUCAUGCCAUUUAUAAUAUGCUGACGCCUGAUUAGAGGAAGGAAGGACUCAGCUGCACUUGCACUGGGGGAAGGGCCACUUACAGGAAGCCUACCUGGGGCUGAGCUGGGUCUCACUGCCUCCUAGACCUAAGGGCCCCAGCUUUUCCCUCAUCUCUUGUUGCAGCCACCACUUGUUCUAGAUCUGCAUCCAUAUCUGUAAAAUGGGGGUGAUAAUACCUUCCCAUAAAGUCACUGUGAGGAUUAAAUGUCCGGCACAAUAUUUGA